CCCUUAGAUGUUCUGGGCCGCACGCGCGCUACACUGAUGCAUUCAACGAGUCUAAAACCUGCUCUGAUAGGGGUGGGUAAUCUUUUGAAUGUGCAUCGUGAUUGGGAUAGAUGAUUGCAAUUUUUCAUCUUCAACGAGGAAUGCCUAGUAAACGCAAGUCAUCAGCUUGCAUUGAUUACGUCCCUGCCCUUUGUACACACCGCCCGUCGCUCCUACCGAUUGAAUGAUCCGAUGAAUAUCAUGGAUUGAGGAUGUAAGCAGGUUCGCCUGUCUUCAUCUUCGAGAAGUGAAGUAAAUCUUAUCAUUUAGAGGAAGGAGAAGUCGUAACG
This 329-nucleotide ribosomal RNA is filed under the name uncultured eukaryote. RNAcentral describes it as "partial 18S ribosomal RNA". It matches the Rfam family "Eukaryotic small subunit ribosomal RNA", at positions 1470 to 1796 of the family's 1831-position model. The record is from RNAcentral.